RNAcentral lists this ribosomal RNA (492 nucleotides) under uncultured bacterium. RNAcentral's name for it is "partial 16S ribosomal RNA". It matches the Rfam family "Bacterial small subunit ribosomal RNA", at positions 29 to 507 of the family's 1533-position model. The record is from RNAcentral.
AGUGAACGCUGGCGGUAGGCCUAACACGUGCAAGUCGAACGGCAGCACAGUAAGAGCUUGCUCUUACGGGUGGCGAGUGGCGGACGGGUGAGGAAUACAUCGGAAUCUACUUUUUCGUGGGGGAUAACGUAGGGAAACAUACGCUAAUACCGCAUACGACCUACGGGUGAAAGCAAGGGAUCUUCGGACCUUGCGCGACUGAAUGAGCCGAUGUCGGAUUAGCUAGUUGGCGGGGUAAAGGCCCACCAAGGCAACGAUCCGUAGCUGGUCUGAGAGGAUGAUCGGCCACACUGGAACUGAGACACGGUCCAGACUCCUACGGGAGGCAGCAGUAGGGAAUCUUGCACAAUGGGCGCAAGCCUGAUCCAGCCACACCGCGUGAGUGAAGAAGGCCUUCGGGUUGUAAAGCCCUUUUGUUGGGAAAGAAAAGCAGCAGGUUAAUCCCCCGCUGUUCUGACGGUACCCAAAGAAUAAGCACCGGCUAACUUCGUG